Molecule: long non-coding RNA, 5913 nt
Filed under: Bemisia tabaci
Lineage: Eukaryota; Metazoa; Arthropoda; Insecta; Hemiptera; Aleyrodidae
Description: lncRNA ENSASIAIIG013019
Source: RNAcentral
CUAUUUGUGUGAUAAAAUAGAAAUUCAUCAUGAUAAGGGAAGAAUGGCAGGAGAGGGGACGGUAAAAUUAAUGAAUGUUUUCCGUAAACGGACUGUGAGAUAUUAAGUAUCGUAGGUAUAAUUUUUAACAGACUAUCCUAAGAAAGUUUUGAGAAGUUGGUGCAUGUUUUCUGACGAUAGAUUUUUAUUUUUAUGUUUAUCGGGUGAAAUAGCAACAAUUUGAUCUGUGUUUUUAAGAAAUGUGUACUAACCUUCGUUCAAUCCAUCAAUUUUUAAGGUCGGAAACAGAUUUUCAUGAAAUUAUUCUAUUGACGAACUUACAGCGUAAGACAUGAAUUAGGAGCGUAAAAGAACAACAGCGUAUUCAAGAUAUCGUUAGAUAAAAUAUGUAACUAAAUAACUGACGGAAAAUAUCUGAACUUAGUAGCUCACUCUGAACCCGAAUACUCGGCGAUAACCUAACUUCGCUGGAUCAACAAGAACAGCUGACGUGAGUUUGGCAACAUCAGAUUCAAAAGAUUAGAGAUUAGCCUCUAAAUUUCAAGUAUAAUUCGUUCAAACAUUUUCAAAAUUUACAAGUGGGACAUUUUAUUCAUAUCCUUUCCAAAUCCGCCGAUUGCUUGUUUCGAAUGACACCGAUCCUUCUUUGUCCAUGAGAAGUCAAUUCUAGAAUGUCGUAAAAGAAAAACUGAAGUUCGGGAUUUUGAAGAUGAGAGGAACGGACUUGGAAGCCUUCUCAUGUCCUUUCUCCUUCGUUGGCUGAGUAUGGGGAAGAAUUUACAGCCCGAUGCACCCCGUCCGAAUCAGUCUCAACCAAUUCAAGAUGGACCCUCACCAACAAGAGCACCUGGCGGCUCGGCUGUGGACAAAAGUGAUACCUGUGGCGGAAAUCCUCAAUCACCUGAGGAUAAUCGACCUACGAUUAGAGGAAUCAAGCUGCCAACCGUGGCAUACAUUAAAAAAUGGCUCCGGGAACAUGGCGAUGAAGUAGUAUCUUCAGACUCCUCCAGUGCUAAGUCGUGGAUAUCAACCACUACCGAGUUCACAUCCAGUGAUCAUGACGACUUACAAAAAAGCGAGGAGGGUAAUCAUACGUGGUCCUUGGACUCUAAAAUGGGCGAACUAGAAGAAAUGAUUGCGAGAGUCGCGGCUGAUCAUAAAUUUUUUGGAAUAGAUACUGAUUCUAACCCAAAAUCACCGCCAGGAGAAAAUAUAACAUCCGAUUCCAGAAAGUCGACCUCUGUUCCUGAGCACCCGGGAAACGCUAGUAGAGAAAAACUUCUUGCUUCUUGCAACCGCACUUGCGGAGAGUUACGUCAAGCGAUAGAAGAGCGGAAAUCGGUGGAGAGUCGUCUGUCCGAUGUUCGGGACCAACUGCAAAGUUUAGGAAGCUCAGCGUCUGACGAGGACCCCCGCUUGGAUGUAAACCAACCGUUACCAAACUCCAGAGCCUCACAGAAAACGAGUGAGUCGUCCCCGCGUUCAGGUGACUUGCGCCUUACAGAGAGGAAGGAAGACAGCGAAUCAGGAGGCCAGAUACACAAGAUCAUCAUCAACGAUCGCACCUUAGCUAAUGGGACCUAUGCAACGGAUGAUGAUUCGGCGGAAUCUUCAAAACAACAAGAGGUAUUAUUUGGAAUAUUAGAACAGCUCAAGGAAACGAAAGAGGUUUUAGACGAGUUCGAGCAAAAUUUAAAGUCAAAAUCAGAGAGAACCGAGAGAGAUUUUACGAAAGACAUUCAAACACGUCAGGUGAUAGCUCUGAUUGAGGAUGAAGGUGAUGUGAAAGGCAUGCGAGGCCAAAUUAGAAUAACGUCCUAUUCAAAUCCUGAUCUAACAGAAGGGGAAUCUCCGGAAUUUAGUAGGCAGGACAACUCAUUAGGAAAUGAAUAUUUUGAGGGUAACGUAGCUAUACCUGCUAUAGAGAAUCCCACUAUUGUACAACUGAAAGAGCAACUUGGAACGCAAUGCAGCCAACACAACAUGCCUCCUUCAUUACACAAUUUUGCAACCAUGGGAGAAGCACCGAUGACGUCCGAUAGAAAAAAUCGAAAUGUAAGACAUGAGUCUGUCCCAACUCCACGAGCAGCUGAGAAAACAGAGCAUCGCCGAAAAUCUUUGCCAACUGGCAUCAUGAGAUCUUUAGCAAAAGGUAUAUUGCAAUCUAUAUUAGCAUCUCAGCCGCUCACGCGGUUUGGCGUACAAGAAUCUUCUGUUGAUGUUGGAGAAACACUACCACAAAGCCAAGACGGGAAACGCGAAAGUGAAGGAAACUUACCUCUAGAUAGUCCAGAGAUCCCUGCAGUUGAUGGAGGGUGUAUUAAACGUAGGAUGGAUGUUGCAGAGACGCUUGCAGGUAUUAAUGAAGAAUAUAAGCAACUUCUGAAUUUGGCAAAUAUUUCUCCGGAAGACCAAGACGAUAGAGCACCAACUCAACAGAAAUCCUCUAUCCUGGAUGAUGAUGUGUUUUAUUACGAUUCCAUUGACAUGAUUGACACCGCAACACAACCCAAAGAAAACACUGGAUCUUCAUUGCCUAUCAAUGAAGGUCCCAAAUCCGGUAGUCUACAGCACUCUCAUGACCUAUCGUCGCAUUCAUCGACGCGGGGGAGAAGAUUCCUACUCCAACAAAUGCCUUUUUACUCAGAGGAACCCUCUUUUAAUGUUUCACGUGUAAUAAGUGACAGCAAUAAGGCAAGGAGAUCAUUAUUCCAACCGAGGCCAUUUUAUUUACAAGACUCGUCCCCAGUGAAUGCAGAUGGAAACCUGUCUCACGAAAUGUCUAAAUCGCUGGGAAAGAGUAGUUCAUCUAAAGGAAGGAUUUCAGGUCCGCACAGUAGACCAGCACCGUUCAAUUUCCAAGACGGGACAUUCAUUCACACAGAUGUGAAUGAUGAGGUGAAUUCGCGGGCCAACAUCAGUAUGAAUGGAGUGGGUCCCAUAGUGGUGCCUCAAAGUGCUUUUCAAAAUUUGCCAUCUCAUUUUGCAAGGGAGUCAUACUACGAACCUCGCAGAGCGGACCAUUUCAUAAGGCUCCCACAAGCCGGACCGAACAGGGUUGAGAAUGUGACUUUCGACUCGCCACAAUCUUUAUGGCAACAAUACACGAGUGAUGAGAGAGAAACCCAAAAUUUCCGGACAAUGAGCGAAUCGGAGCGUAGGAAGAUGGAGAGAAUGUUGGCGCCGAAUCCGACCAAUUGCAAAGAUUACCAGUUGACCUGUCGCUGGGAGCGAGUCCGUCAGCCAGGUCCAGAGCCACGUGAACUGGAUAUAUAUCGAACCCCUUUCAGAGACCCGAGUCCACAUUCGAUGCCCAAUAGAGUCCUUUUCCCUUCACAUUCGGGCCAAGUAGGAGGGACAUUCCCUCAAAGGUUCGGAAUUGACGCGAGGGAGAUCCACUCUGCGUACAUUCCUCGUGUUGGACAACCAGUGCAGCAUAUCCCCCUGCAAUCACGCACUGCUCCACCGCGUAUAGGGAUGGAGGACCAGAUGGAGCCAGAGUUCGUAGCCCCACGGUUGAGGAGAUGGCAGGUGCAACCAGAGCUCCGGGAAACUCUCGACGAGCAAGUGUAUGCGCGGGCACGAGAAGAGAGAAGACUUGCAAGAAUAGAAAAUUGCAAGAAAGCAUGCGAAGAUUGGUCUCUCGGCUCUUCGUUGACGGAAGAGAGUUUCAGUGGCAUGCCAUCACCACCGUCUGGUACUUUUGUGGUUGUUCCCAAUGAAACAUCACCGUAUUCAGCUCAAAGUGAUACAUACUACGAAGAUACACCGUCCGUAUAUGGUUUCGAUACUUUCAUACCGAGCAGCCAUUCAACGUCUCUCGUUCGGCCCAGAUAUCAACAAUAUGACUCGACCACGACCCACGAAAGUACUGGACUUAAUAAUGGCAUGCAAGGUCGUUUUCCUCCUAAUCGUAGGAUCGAUUUAGAGCCAAAACCGAUUUCAUCUAAAGUUUCUUCGAGGGCAUAUCUUUCAUGCCCUCACAUACCUUCAAUUCAUCAGCCUAUAGCUGUAGCGCAUGAUCUAAACGCAGUUGCAUUGUCCAAGACGCUUGGUAUUCACCCCAAUGUAACAGGUAGCGAAUACUUUAUUGCUGAAAGGGGAGGCAUAGGACGUAAUCGAAACCAACCAGGCACUAACGCUCCAGCGGUCAUGAAAGAAAGUCUCUCUUCAGGUGCUGUCAUUGCAUUUCCCAGAGACAACGAUACAUUUUUUCCUAACCGAAUGCACAGUUCGCUUCCUUGCCAUUCUGUUUCCACCAGGGAGGUUUCAGAUUCCAGACCAGUGCAUAGUACUCUUACACAUGGCCUCCGUGCUAGUCAUUCUCUUUCGUAUUUGAACCCACCGCGGGAUGCAAAUUUGCUGUUACAACCCUCUUCCUAUUCCGAAAGGCAAAUACAACAUCAUAAUUUACCACAGACUUAUUCUAAUUUUAAUGGAUCGCACAAUUGGCAGCACAUAUCUCCUCAGUUUACACCUUCUGCGAGGUACAUUUACGAUGUUCAAAAAUCACGCUCAAAUAAUGGUAGUCCAAGCAGCGCUCAUGAAAAUGCACAAUUUUCAUCACAGCACAACGGAACUUUUCGAAAGGUUACACACCAAUUUCCAAGUGUGAAUAGGAUCCCUCAAGAUACUGAUGCUUUGGAACGUUUUUUACAGAAUGGCGCCCAUACCCAUGAAAGUGGUGCGGAUAAUCAAGAACUACAAACGAUGUACAGAAGACUCGAUACGGCGCAAAGUACAAAUCCGUGCACUAAUGAGACCUUUGUGACUUUUAAUGCGCAGCCUGAGUCAGAAAGAAAAACGCCCUCCCAAAGUAUCAGUCCGCAACAAAAUUGCCCAGAUUCAAGGGUCAUUCCUGGAAUGUAUGACCAUUCGCCGCUUUCGCAGAAUAUGGCAGUCCGAUUAAAUACAAGCUCAAGCACGGAUGAAGGCCCUCAAGUAGACGGAAAGCAACCUCGAGCAGAUUAUCGGCCUCAACAAUACCACCCGUCCAAAUCUUUUUCGUGCGCUUUUCAAAUUCAUAAAAAAGCUCCUCAACCGUGCAUUCAUGGCACAAAAGAUGCAGGUGCUGACUCGUGCUUGAAUGAGUUUCAGAAUGAAGGUAAGCGGGGGAAAACAGCUGCGUAUUUGGAAAUCAAUUUCGAAAAAAGCGGUAGGAAAAGCGCUUCAUCAGUUUUUAAUGGCAAUAACACCGUUGGUCAGUCACCCUCAACCUACAUUCGCACUAUGAGGGAACCUCAUUAUAAUAAAGCUCAUGAUGAUUUCCUACCUUUGCCUGAAUACAAACCUCCUCCAAGACGUGUCAGUUGUAUUGACUCUACGCCACGUCACAACUACCCGUAUCCUAGACGAUCCUCCGGUUUGCCAGCUUCAACGUCGACUCCAAUCUCCCGCGCUCUUCCAUUUUCCAAUAGGGCUGCCAAUGAAUUCACCCAAUGCAACUCUCCUCGAGAUUUGAAGGAUAGUUAUAAGGUGAAAGACGGCAGGGACGAUUCCGACUCGUGCUCCGAAUAUUCCUCAUCUUUGUCAGACAAGGCACCAGUUAGGUCUCAUUCCUCAUCCAGCGGACCUCAUGAAGCGGAUUUCAUCCCUUUGCCACAAUUCCCACUAGAACUAUCGCUGAAGUCAUUGAGGCAAAUCGAAACCAUUAUUCAAAGGGGCAAAGUAAUAUAUCUCCAGAAAAUACUUCUACCUUCAUCCCUUUGCCACAAACUCCCUCUAGAACUAUCGCCGAAGUCAUUAAGGCAAAUCGGAACUGUUAUUCAGAGGGGCAAAGUAAUAAAUCUCCAAAAAAUACUUGUACCUUCAUACCUUUGCCACAAACUCCCUCUAGGACUGUUGCCGAGGUCGUUGAGGCACACCGUAAUAUUUCUCCAACAUAUGCACAAUAUUCUCCCGCUCCUCGUCUGA